AACGAACGCUGGCGGCGCGCCUAAUACAUGCAAGUCGAGCGAGAAGACGUAGCAAUACGUUUGUAAAGCGGCGAACGGGUGAGGAAUACAUGGGUAACCUACCCUCGAGUGGGGAAUAACUAGCCGAAAGGUUAGCUAAUACCGCAUACGCUUCCCGGACUGCGGUUCGGGAAAGAAAGCGAUACCGUGGGUAUCGCGCUCUUGGAUGGGCUCAUGUCCUAUCAGCUUGUUGGUGAGGUAAUGGCUCACCAAGGCGACGACGGGUAGCCGGCCUGAGAGGGCGACCGGCCACACUGGGACUGAGACACGGCCCAGACUCCUACGGGAGGCAGCAGUGGGGAAUAUUGCACAAUGGGCGAAAGCCUGAUGCAGCGACGCCGCGUGAGGGAUGACGGCCUGGU
This 401-nucleotide ribosomal RNA is filed under the name uncultured bacterium. Its description in RNAcentral is "bacterial SSU rRNA". It matches the Rfam family "Bacterial small subunit ribosomal RNA", at positions 29 to 420 of the family's 1533-position model. The record is from RNAcentral.